RNAcentral lists this long non-coding RNA (653 nucleotides) under Dromaius novaehollandiae (emu). RNAcentral's name for it is "lncRNA (ENSDNVG00000011924.1)". Lineage: Eukaryota; Metazoa; Chordata; Aves; Casuariiformes; Dromaiidae. The record is from RNAcentral.
CCCUAGUCUAAUAGCGAGUUCAGCGAACACCGGUUUGCUACAGAUGCAAAAAUCUUAACGCAUGUGUGGGGAAAGCGGGCGUAAAAAAAAGUCACCAUUCAGAAAAAAAAAGAAAAAGAAAAAAUCUCCAGUGUUUCACAACAGAUCUCAUCCUGUUACCAUAGUUAUAGCUUUCUAUACAAGAAAGGUAUAGUGCUAUCGUGUGCCCUUACACAAAUGCAUGUACAGACAAAAACAGAGACUGCUAAAUAUUUGCGUGUUGUGCAGAACCAGUGCACAGGGAUACGGCUCCCUGUACGGGAAUACAGUUCGGAGACUCCUAAGGCAUUUUUCUCGUUUUACAAAUUAUGACGGCUCAGAGGGCUGGGUACAUGAUCUCAUCUGCCCGGUGCUCGAAGGAAGGAGAAGGAAAGGGACCAGUGCAGAUGCGUAAGAAGGAAAGAAAGAAGCACCUUCUGAUCAGGUUAUUUUGUGCUCAGAAUUGCACGGAAACUUCGCUCCAGCAGGCUUCCUGCAGCAUCGCAUCUUCAGCUAUGGCCUUAUUCAGAAAGAAGCCCAGACUUUGGACCAGGCCCCUGCGUCGUACAGACUUAGCAGGAGGGACCRACUUCUUGUGCGUGUGGCUUGUACAGCACAGAGCACCUGGCGCUUAA